This is a regulatory RNA element of 200 nucleotides. It matches the Rfam family "Baculoviridae Nucleocapsid Assembly essential Element". Rfam says of the family: Internal cis-element within the ac83 gene. The record is from Rfam.
CAUUUUCAGCGACGUAUAUUGACAAAUAUACUACAGUCGGACGUUUGUGCCGACAUAUAUACUACACUUUACCAAAAAUAUACUACACUAAACUCUAAAUAUACUACAACUCCGCUUCAAUAUAACUAUACUCUCGUAAAACGGCCUAAAAAUAUCGAAAUAUAUGGGGUAAAUACACGUUUGAAAAACGCUACGAUUCC